This 785-nucleotide ribosomal RNA is filed under the name uncultured Sulfitobacter sp. RNAcentral describes it as "bacterial SSU rRNA". It matches the Rfam family "Bacterial small subunit ribosomal RNA", at positions 39 to 869 of the family's 1533-position model. Lineage: Bacteria; Pseudomonadati; Pseudomonadota; Alphaproteobacteria; Rhodobacterales; Roseobacteraceae. The record is from RNAcentral.
GCGGCAGGCCUAACACAUGCAAGUCGAGCGCAGUCCUUCGGGACCGAGCGGCGGACGGGUUAGUAACGCGUGGGAACAUACCCUUUUCUACGGAAUAGCCUCGGGAAACUGAGAGUAAUACCGUAUAAGCCCUUCGGGGGAAAGAUUUAUCGGGAAAGGAUUGGCCCGCGUUAGAUUAGAUAGUUGGUGGGGUAAUGGCCUACCAAGUCUACGAUCUAUAGCUGGUUUUAGAGGAUGAUCAGCAACACUGGGACUGAGACACGGCCCAGACUCCUACGGGAGGCAGCAGUGGGGAAUCUUAGACAAUGGGCGCAAGCCUGAUCUAGCCAUGCCGCGUGUGUGAUGAAGGUCUUAGGAUCGUAAAGCACUUUCGCCAGGGAUGAUAAUGACAGUACCUGGUAAAGAAACCCCGGCUAACUCCGUGCCAGCAGCCGCGGUAAUACGGAGGGGGUUAGCGUUGUUCGGAAUUACUGGGCGUAAAGCGUACGUAGGCGGAUCAGAAAGUAGGGGGUGAAAUCCCAGGGCUCAACCCUGGAACUGCCUCCUAAACUCCUGGUCUUGAGUUCGAGAGAGGUGAGUGGAAUUCCAAGUGUAGAGGUGAAAUUCGUAGAUAUUUGGAGGAACACCAGUGGCGAAGGCGGCUCACUGGCUCGAUACUGACGCUGAGGUACGAAAGUGUGGGGAGCAAACAGGAUUAGAUACCCUGGUAGUCCACACCGUAAACGAUGAAUGCCAGUCGUCGGGCAGUAUACUGUUCGGUGACACACCUAACGGAUUAAGCAUCC